RNAcentral lists this ribosomal RNA (423 nucleotides) under uncultured bacterium. RNAcentral describes it as "bacterial SSU rRNA". It matches the Rfam family "Bacterial small subunit ribosomal RNA", at positions 207 to 622 of the family's 1533-position model. The record is from RNAcentral.
AAGACCUUGCGCUUUUGGAGCGGCCGAUGCCUGAUUAGCUAGUUGGUGAGGUAAUGGCUCACCAAGGCGUCGAUCAGUAGUUGGUCUGAGAGGACGACCAGCCACACUGGGACUGAGACACGGCCCAGACUCCUACGGGAGGCAGCAGUGGGGAAUUUUGGACAAUGGGCGCAAGCCUGAUCCAGCCAUGCCGCGUGAGUGAAGAAGGCCUUCGGGUUGUAAAGCUCUUUCAGUCGAGAAGAAAAGGUCGCGGCUAAUAAUCGUGAUCCAUGACGGUAUCGACAGAAGAAGCACCGGCUAACUACGUGCCAGCAGCCGCGGUAAUACGUAGGGUGCGAGCGUUAAUCGGAAUUACUGGGCGUAAAGGGUGCGCAGGCGGCUUUGUAAGUCAGAUGUGAAAUCCCCGGGCUUAACCUGGGAACU